Molecule: transfer RNA, 832 nt
Filed under: uncultured Synechococcus sp.
Lineage: Bacteria; Bacillati; Cyanobacteriota; Cyanophyceae; Synechococcales; Synechococcaceae
Description: partial contains 16S ribosomal RNA, 16S-23S ribosomal RNA intergenic spacer, and 23S ribosomal RNA
Rfam family: tRNA (bases 286-358)
Source: RNAcentral
UUGGAUCACCUCCUUAACAGGGAGACAAACAACGAUUUUGAUGUCUGAGUUAUUUAUUCUUAGGCCAAAAUCCUGUCACAUUAGGUCGAUCGGUACCUCAACCUUUUGAGCUAAGAGAGUUCCAGCAAUGGUUGUCUGCUUAGUGGAGAUUUUUAGUUCCUAAACUUUGUCUAGUUCACAACCCAUUAGAGAUGAGACUCCUGGGCCAUUAGCUCAGGUGGUUAGAGCGCACCCCUGAUAAGGGUGAGGUCCCUGGUUCAAGUCCAGGAUGGCCCAUUCGGUGUAGGGGGUUUAGCUCAGUUGGUAGAGCGCCUGCUUUGCAAGCAGGAUGUCAGGAGUUCGAGUCUCCUAACCUCCACUGACUACCAAAAUCCCCAUCUCCAAAACCUGGAGUAUGAACUCGUAUGGAUUGUGAUUUAGAUGUGUCCGCUAGAUGACCCUAGCUUCUUGUCAUUUUAAGGCAUGGAAAUGAUUCCAUGAUAUUUAAUUGAUAGGAUGCUGGGCUCGAUGCAAUGUAUUGAGAGAUCAAUGCAUUGUUUUGAUGUCUGGCCGAACCUUGACAACUGCAUAGUAAGUCUGGAAAGAAUAAAGCAUCUUUAUGGAUGCAUCAUUCUUGAGUGUUAAUUCACGAUGGGAUGGUGUUAAUUCUAAGCAAGAGCCGAGACUCCAGCAUGUUCUUUCAAAUGUGUCGAGCAUUUGAGAGUUUGAUUUUAAUUUCUACUUGUAGAAGUUAGAAGAAUCUGUUUCAACGACAGCAAGCGUGUUGGAGAUACAUUGGUCAAGCUACAAAGGGCUCACGGCGGAUACCUUGGCACACAGAGGCGAUGAAGGA